UUGAGUUAAGUUUGAGACUUUAAAGUUUAAUUAUGCAUUUGGAGUUCCCAUUUGGCUUGAGUAAGUCUUCCGCUUGUAGUCAGCUAGGAUGACGGUUUGCUUGGGGACCAACAAUGAUUCUCGAGUGCCGGCAACGUCCAAGGUGUAGACUCUGGUCGUGACAUCCUGGCGGGCCCUCUUGUUCCUUAUUUUAUGCUUUGUUUUAUUCGAGAAACAAAGACAUUGAGACUUGUAUUUAUCUUUCAAAUUAUGUAUUACUACACUAGUGACUUGUACACGUGACAACCAGAUUUAGGGGUGUUUAUGAAUUGGCUAAAAAAAUUCCGCACUUAUGCUAUUGUUGAUUUAUUUCACAUUUCUUUCGUAUUAUUUAGAUUUUAGGCUGAC
RNAcentral lists this long non-coding RNA (387 nucleotides) under Solanum tuberosum (potato). RNAcentral describes it as "long non-coding RNA (STUB_LNC007455)". Lineage: Eukaryota; Viridiplantae; Streptophyta; Magnoliopsida; Solanales; Solanaceae. The record is from RNAcentral.